UCAGUCCUUCAGUUUCCUGUAAUAAUGAGGAACACAUGUUUCUGUCUUUUGUUGUUUCCUGACAUGAACGAGGCUGUUCUCCCUCUUUGCGGUUUAGAAAGGAACUCCGUUAAAUCCAGCAGCGUGUGCGUGCGUGUGUAUGUGCGUGUGUGCGCGCUUGUGUGUGUGAGAAGCAGACGUGCAGACGAUCCGCUCCGUCCUCUCUCAUGUAAACACAACUCUGAAGCUUAACAGAGAGAGGAGCAGCCCGCCCACCUGUUUGUGAUUGUUUCAGGUAUCAUAGUCAGUUUGUCUUAUUGUAUCAUUGGAGAGUUUUAACUCAAAGAACAAGCAAAGUUCCCAGUGUUUGCGUCGUGGGAGUGCACAUCAGGAUAUACUCUCACAUGUCUCUGCAAAAACAUCAGAUGGAUAAAAGGCUGAAGACUGUAAACAUGUUAACCUGAAGGGUUACAAGUCCUCCAUCAGCUAACAGUCCAGAAUGAACUCUGUCUGGUGACUGAGAAAGCGGAGCUGUCCAUGAGGGCCACCAUGUUUCCACAGCAGUCUUCAUGGACACCCUUCAGUCCUUCCUGUUUAUUUGCUGUUAGUUGUGAACAGGAGCCUCAUCUCCUAAUGCUUCUAAAUCCUGCACACUUAAGGUUUCCCAUUCUGGCUCUGUGGGUUUAAAUCGUCAAGAAGCACCAAAGUCAAGACAGUCCCUGAAGCCUGGAGAAUAAUCAAAGACAAACAGACUUUGUUUGUUCAGACAGAGCUGCACCCUGAUCAACAAGUUAUUUUCUAUUUUUUGUGAGUCGAAGGCAGACAGCAUUUAAAGCAUCAUUAGUACAGUAAUAAACAGCCUCAUGUGCAUGCAUCAUGUAUGAAUACAGAGGAUAUAAAGUA
Molecule: long non-coding RNA, 882 nt
Organism: Notolabrus celidotus (New Zealand spotty)
Lineage: Eukaryota; Metazoa; Chordata; Actinopteri; Labriformes; Labridae
Exons: 2
Source: RefSeq, a predicted model, not a curated record